GGCGGAUGGGCAUGCGUCGCAUUAGUUAGUUGGCGGUGUAACGGACCACCAAGACGACGAUGCGUAGGGGUUCUGAGAGGAAGGUCCCCCACACUGGUACUGAGACACGGACCAGACUCCUACGGGAGGCAGCAGUGAGGAAUAUUGGUCAAUGGGCGGGAGCCUGAACCAGCCAAGUCGCGUGAGGGAUGACGGCCCUAUGGGUUGUAAACCUCUUUUGCCGGGGAGCAAAGUGCCGCACGUGUGCGGUUUGGAGAGUACCCGGAGAAAAAGCAUCGGCUAACUCCGUGCCAGCAGCCGCGGUAAUACGGAGGAUGCGAGCGUUAUCCGGAUUUAUUGGGUUUAAAGGGUGCGUAGGCGGACGCUUAAGUCAGCGGUAAAAUUGCGGGGCUCAACCUCGUCGAGCCGUUGAAACUGGGUGCCUUGAGUGGGCGAGAAGUACGCGGAAUGCGUGGUGUAGCGGUGAAAUGCAUAGAUAUCACGCAGAACUCCGAUUGCGAAGGCAGCGUACCGGCGCCCAACUGACGCUGAAGCACGAAGGCGUGGGUAUCGAACAGGAUUAGAUACCCUGGUAGUCCACGCAGUAAACGAUGAAUGCUAGUUGUCCGGGGCGAUUGAGUUCUGG
This 625-nucleotide ribosomal RNA is filed under the name uncultured bacterium. RNAcentral's name for it is "bacterial SSU rRNA". It matches the Rfam family "Bacterial small subunit ribosomal RNA", at positions 220 to 842 of the family's 1533-position model. The record is from RNAcentral.